GACGGAGGGGGCUAGCGUUGUUCGGAAUGACUGGGCGUAAAGGGCGCGUAGGCGGCUUAUCAAGUCAGGUGUGAAAGCCUUGGGCUUAACCCAAGAACUGCGCUUGAUACUGAUAGGCUUGAGGAUGAUAGAGGAAAGCGGAAUUCCUAGUGUAGAGGUGAAAUUCGUAGAUAUUAGGAAGAACACCAGAGGCGAAGGCGGCUUUCUGGAUCAUAUCUGACGCUGAGGCGCGAAAGCGUGGGGAGCAAACAGG
RNAcentral lists this ribosomal RNA (253 nucleotides) under uncultured bacterium. RNAcentral's name for it is "partial 16S ribosomal RNA". It matches the Rfam family "Bacterial small subunit ribosomal RNA", at positions 524 to 776 of the family's 1533-position model. The record is from RNAcentral. RNAcentral also lists the same sequence under 1 other name.